GUGGGGGAGAGGCUGUC
RNAcentral lists this microRNA (17 nucleotides) under Pan troglodytes (chimpanzee). RNAcentral describes it as "ptr-miR-1275". The record is from miRBase by way of RNAcentral. RNAcentral also lists the same sequence under 2 other names. Lineage: Eukaryota; Metazoa; Chordata; Mammalia; Primates; Hominidae.